GCCUUGCCCGCAUUCUCCACCACUGUGACGGGACGAGCCAACGACAGACACAGUGGGCGUGGCGUCAGGCCUCGGAGAGAGGUUUUUAUUUAACAGAAAAACCAAAACAAGGGGGAAUAAAGUGUCCAAAAGGGGAACAGUGUCCAAAACAACAGGGAAUCUGGUGUCCUCGUCGUGCUGCGGGGUUCGUGGGGGUCUGGCAGUGUUCAUGGAGGAAGGGUCCAGGUAAGGGGCGGAGUCCGGCGGCCGCACGCGCUCCCCUCUUCGGUCCGGGGCGCGAGGGGCGGCGGCUUCUUCUAGCGGCUUCAUCCUCCUCGCUGGCCGCGGCGCUUGCAGGGGAUGGACGGCCCGGCAUCCUGGCCCGACGGCCGUGUAGACGGGUGCGGUUCUCGACCGGACCGCGGGUCCGGCAGCUCACGUCUCUGGUGGCGCGGGAGUCCCCCAACGCACCCUUCCUGGACCCACGAGGACACCAGUGUGCAUGCACGGGGAAAGAGACCGGUCUCCCGAGGAGAGGCGCGUUGGGCUUUUAAACAGCGGCGGUGAUGAGGCUCCAUUUCCUUCAGGUGUGCCCCAUCACACGCCGCCAGCCCUGACUCGUCCAGCGCCCCUCCUCUCUCCCACACCCACUCCUAUCGGGAGCCUGGUGAAGGGCGGCGAUUUAGGACGGGGUGCCGGUGAUUAUCAGGGAGGAGGCAGCUGACUCGCCA
Cyprinus carpio carpio is the source of this 710-nucleotide long non-coding RNA. NCBI's taxonomy places the organism in Eukaryota, Metazoa, Chordata, Actinopteri, Cypriniformes, Cyprinidae. The record is from Ensembl.